RNAcentral lists this ribosomal RNA (1331 nucleotides) under 'Datura stramonium' witches'-broom phytoplasma. Its description in RNAcentral is "bacterial SSU rRNA". It matches the Rfam family "Bacterial small subunit ribosomal RNA", at positions 173 to 1497 of the family's 1533-position model. Lineage: Bacteria; Bacillati; Mycoplasmatota; Mollicutes; Acholeplasmatales; Acholeplasmataceae. The record is from RNAcentral.
AUAGGAAACACAAAGGCAUCUUUUUGUUUUUAAAAGACCUUCUUACGAAGGUAUGCUUAAAGAGGGGCUUGCGCCACAUUAGUUAGUUGGUAGAGUAAAAGCCUACCAAGACGAUGAUGUGUAGCUGGACUGAGAGGUUGAACAGCCACAUUGGGACUGAGACACGGCCCAAACUCCUACGGGAGGCAGCAGUAGGGAAUUUUCGGCAAUGGAGGAAACUCUGACCGAGCAACGCCGCGUGAACGAUGAAGUAUUUCGGUAUGUAAAGUUCUUUUAUUGAAGAAGAAAAAGUAGUGGAAAAACUAUAUUGACGUUAUUCAAUGAAUAAGCCCCGGCUAACUAUGUGCCAGCAGCCGCGGUAAGACAUAGGGGGCGAGCGUUAUCCGGAAUUAUUGGGCGUAAAGGGUGCGUAGGCUGUUAGAUAAGUCUAUAAUUUAAUUUCAGUGCUUAACGCUGUCUUGUUAUAGAAACUGUCUUGACUAGAGUGAGAUAGAGGCAAGCGGAAUUCCAUGUGUAGCGGUAAAAUGUGUAAAUAUAUGGAGGAACACCAGAAGCGUAGGCGGCUUGCUGGGUCUUUACUGACGCUGAGGCACGAAAGCGUGGGUAGCAAACAGGAUUAGAUACCCUGGUAGUCCACGCCGUAAACGAUGAGUACUAAGUGUCGGGGUAAAACUCGGUACUGAAGUUAACACAUUAAGUACUCCGCCUGAGUAGUACGUACGCAAGUAUGAAACUUAAAGGAAUUGACGGGACUCCGCACAAGCGGUGGAUCAUGUUGUUUAAUUCGAAGAUACACGAAAAAUCUUACCAGGUCUUGACAUACUCUGCAAAGCUAUAGAAAUAUAGUGGAGGUUAUCAGGGAUACAGGUGGUGCAUGGUUGUCGUCAGUUCGUGUCGUGAGAUGUUAGGUUAAGUCCUAAAACGAACGCAACCCUUGUCGUUAAUUGCCAGCACAUAAUGGUGGGGACUUUAACGAGACUGCCAAUUAAACAUUGGAGGAAGGUGAGGAUUACGUCAAAUCAUCAUGCCCCUUAUGAUCUGGGCUACAAACGUGAUACAAUGGCUGUGACAAAGAGUAGCUGAAACGCGAGUUUUUAGCCAAUCUCAAAAAAGCAGUCUCAGUUCGGAUUGAAGUCUGUAACUCGACUUCAUGAAGUUGGAAUCGCUAGUAAUCGCGAAUCAGCAUGUCGCGGUGAAUACGUUCUCGGGGUUUGUACACACCGCCCGUCAAACCACGAAAGUUAGCAAUGCCCGAAAGCAGUAGCUUAACUUCGCAAGAAGAGGGAACUGUCUAAGGUAGGGUUGAUGAUUGGGGUAAGUCGUAACAAGAC